RNAcentral lists this ribosomal RNA (253 nucleotides) under uncultured prokaryote. RNAcentral's name for it is "partial 16S ribosomal RNA". It matches the Rfam family "Bacterial small subunit ribosomal RNA", at positions 525 to 777 of the family's 1533-position model. The record is from RNAcentral.
ACGAAGGGGGCUAGCGUUGUUCGGAAUCACUGGGCUUAAAGGGCGCGUAGGCGGCUUGCCAAGUCAGGGGUGAAAUCUUUCGGCUCAACCGGAAAACGGCCCCUGAUACUGGCGGGCUCGAGGGGGGUAGGGGCGGACGGAACUUCCGGUGGAGCGGUGAAAUGCGUAGAUAUCGGAAGGAACGCCGGUGGCGAAAGCGGUCCGCUGGACCCCCACUGACGCUGAGGCGCGAAAGCCAGGGGAGCAAACGGGA